Molecule: long non-coding RNA, 1217 nt
Organism: Papaver somniferum (opium poppy)
Lineage: Eukaryota; Viridiplantae; Streptophyta; Magnoliopsida; Ranunculales; Papaveraceae
Exons: 6
Source: RefSeq, a predicted model, not a curated record
AAUCCCAUUAUCUCUUUUACAUCGGCUUCUCCUUUAUUUCUCACUCGAGAAAAACCAAUGGAACUCUCCAUCAUCUCCAUAUCUGCCACCACCAUCUUCAUCUUGUCACUGUCAUAGCCUUUUGAAUUCCUCCACCAUCACGACCAUCACCAUGACUGCAACAUCUUGUAUUCAAUAUCCAAGCAUCUUGUAUUGGAUCUAAAUUUGUAGAAAAUUAUCAGAUCUGUACCAAGUCUUAAUUUUUGGUUGUUUCGAAUCUUAAUAAGAAUACGACGAAGUCGUUUUAUGAGAUUUAUUUUAGGAUUAAGGGCAUGUACAAGCGUGUAUAUGAUGGUUUUGGAUUGAAGGCUCCUGAUGAUGUUUUAUGGGAUAAUCGUGAAGUUGUAGCUGUCGAUGGUUGCAAUGGUGUGUGAUAUUCUGGUAGCUGCGGUUGUGGGUGUUUAUGGCGGACAGUGGUUAUGGUUGCUUUAUGUGGUGGUUUGUGGUUGCAAUGAGGGACUUAAAGUAUAGGGGAGGUGGAAGAUGAUUUUAUGGAGGAGGUGGAAGACGAUCUUAUUACGUGGAGUGGAGGAAUCAUUCCGCUGCUUUGAGUGUUCAAUGAAGCUUGGUCGAGAUAUGUUGGAGGAAGUGAUUUAACUUUGGGUACUUUCCUUUCAUCUUAUUUCUGAACCAACUACCUUUUUGCGAGAUGCAAAAAUUAUAUGUACGUUGAUAUUUUUGAAUGAAACAUGCACUUUUAGCUUCUGAUUUUGAAAACUUGACCAACUUGCCUUUACUUUAAGAUACCACUAGUUUCCUGGAUGGAACACACACUUUAUGGUUGCUGGUGGAAAAGAUGGUAACCAAGAGAUUUUUCCAGUUACAUUUGAAGUUGUUCCUGGCGAAGAUGGUGAUAAACAUCACUGGUUUCUGAACAAUUUGAAGGUGUGGUCGGUGUGGCAUGCUUGUAUAUCAUAAUCAUCAAAUGUUGAAGACCUCCAUUGGUUGCUCAUGCACCAACAUUGCGAAGGCAACUGUAUUCAAACUUCUGGAAGACCAUGUUCCCAUGAAUCUUUGUUUAAGUUGUCACUUUUUUGAACUUCGUAAUGUUUUUUUCAACUUGUUGUCUUUGUCUGGGUAUUUUUUUUCAAUUUUUUUUCCUGAACGUGUUAUGUUGCAGUUGCUAAACAAUAGUUGUCUCAGUUAUUUAUGAAUUGAGUUUUCCUUUUUGUUUUGAA